AGAAAAAUGAUGACAAGUUGGCAAAGCAGAGAUCUCAGAGCCCCACUGAUGGCAUGAUCCAGGUGGGGCAUCCUCUGCAUUAGUGGUUCUUAAACUUUUGUGUAUCAGAGUCACCUGGAGGGCUUGUUAAAGCACGGCUUGCUGGCUCCACCCCUAAAGAUUCUGACUCAACAGUCCUGGCUGAGCCUCCGAUUUGCAGUUUCAGGUGAUCCUGAUCUUAGCGGUCCAGUCUGAGAACCAUGCUUUGAGAGCCACUGCUCUGUUGUGAGAAAGAGAAAGGAGGUGAAAGUCAUUGAUGCUGAGGAGGUUGAGAUCCUGGGAGGCGUAGGCCAUUAGUCCACAAUAAAAGCUCAGUGUGCUCAGGGACUCUCGAGUGAACAGGUGCUCAAAGCGUUCGGGGUCAGAAGGGUCCAUUAAGGAGCGAGGGAGGAGAGCGGCAGAGGAGAAGCGCUUUUAGGUGAUGGCUUCGGACCUGCUCUGCCAGGACAUGAAAAAUGGUGUGCCACUUGCUUUUGGCCUCCAUGAAUGAGGAAUCUGUCAUCACUCAAAUCAUUUUUCUUGGAAAGGGAUGUAUCCUACUUAUCAGAGCCAUAGAAGAGGAAUCGGUCUCACAUCUCCACCCUGGAUAAAGCAAUGCAGUGACCUUGGAGCGGAAACACCAGUUAGCCUGUCUGAUACUGUACCACCUGGGACUGAAGGCCAGACCCCUCCAGACUGCUGCAUAGUGGGACGGCAGGGGAAAUGUUGGCAUCUUGAUGGUGAACCAUGAGUAAGGGUACUAUCGAGCCUCAAAGGUGUUCACUGAACAAGAAUUUGCAAAUGUGAUGGGUAUGAUGCCGAUAUGCAGGGAGCUAUGGAGUCACGUCAGAGGAGACUUCACCUAGAAUGCGGAUGCGUCAGGAAUGGCCUCUCUGACAAAGUGCCAUUUAACUUUAAGGGAAGGAGUGAGCACCGAAGAAUCCAUGAAGAGAGGAGUCACACAUGUGAAGGGUCUGAGGUAGAAAGGGGUAUCCUGUGUUGUAAGUAACAGAAGGCCAGUGUGGUGGGAGCAGAAUAACGACCAAUGGUAACUUGGCAUUUUAUGAACCUGGCUGUGUUCAAAGCAGUUUACGUGUUUAAUUUUUGUAACCUUCAUGGCAAGUCUUUGAUGAGGUCCCUGAGAACACAGAGGAGUGAACUAAGUUAACUAACCCAGGGUCAUACAGCUAGGAAGUUCCAUAGCUGGGAUAUGACCAAGACAGUCUGGAGCCAACCCCUGCCCCCUCUGAGCACAGCACCACACUUCAGAGAUGGCAAAGCCAGGACAGUCAAGGACCACAUCACUUGAUUUAGGAAGUCUGGAGUAAGAUCAUAAGUUAAUUUAGACCACACUGAGAGUUCAAUACAGCACCCAGGUCUUCUCCAUACUAACUUCAAUUUCUUUCUUCAUGUGGAAAAUUGGGAGAACCCACCAAGAAUCUGACUCUAUGUUAGGCACCGGAGAACCAUAAGAAGAGAUCAAAUUCGUCCUUAAAAGGCUAAUAAAGUCCCCAUAACUUUGAGGGAAAGAAGAGGUUCAUGUGGGGUAGAGAGCUGAAGGGUUCAUGGAGCAAGCUGAAUCUUGAAGUGACCGAGUAGGAAUCAUUAGGGUCUAGACUGAGGGAAACAGUGGAAGCUUGUCCACACCUUUCCAUUCUUUUAUUUUUUUCAGUAUAUACUGAUUACGUAGUUUCUCCAUGGUUUGGGGCUAGGGAUCAAGAAGAGUGCAGUGAAUUGGACAAAUAAAAUAGAAACCAGCAUGAGGAGGGCACAAGCAUGAGAAAGCUUGUGACUCUGGAUAACACAGAAGAAGCCAGUAGGCACCCAAGAAGCAUGUGGAGAGUUCACGGGGGCUGAGCUUAAGAGGAGGGAAAUGGGGAUAGUGAGAUAAAGCAAUUGAUUGUUCAAGGUGCUAUCAGUGUCAGAUGAAAAAAAAAUUUCCCCUGACAGAUGAGAAGCCAUUUCUAGCUCUUGUGAAGGAAAGAAAAAGAAUUCAUCUCUAGAAUGCUUUGCUGGCAGUUGUGUGAAGUCCACACUGGACAGCAGUGAAACACAAGUGUUAAUAUAAUGUCAUGUCAGGUGGGAGAAGGCUCAAGGAACAGAAAAGUAGGUCUAAAUGUCUUUCAUUUCUCACAUGCCUUGCAUAUCCUUUAAGAUGGUAGUUGCUGGGAAAUUAGUAUGCAUUCUCAUCCUUAGAGGUCAGGAUUAAAUCAGUUUCUCUUUGUUUCUAAAAGUAGACAGGACUUUUGGCUGAUAGGUCAGUUUUAUUAACCAAAAGCUACCUUUAAACUUGGCACUUCUUCAUCCAGAAACAAACAUAAUAUUCACUCUGGACUGCCCUGAACAGAGUAAGAGCAAUGAAUGUAAUUUAAGGAGAUGGUCUUUAAUUAAAAGAGCUACUUGGUAAAUUUC
Non-coding RNA from Sus scrofa (pig), 2430 nucleotides. The record is from RefSeq and is a predicted model, not a curated record. Lineage: Eukaryota; Metazoa; Chordata; Mammalia; Artiodactyla; Suidae.